GGAUCAAAACCAUUCAAGUGCAAGAUAUGCCACUUCGCAACGGCUCAGCUUGGCGAUGCCAGAAACCAUGUCAAAAGGCACCUUGGGAUGAGGGAAUACAAGUGUCAUGUCUGUGGGGUUGAUUUUGUAAUUGAAGCAAUAGAAAAGCUUCUUAGGUAGGG
Molecule: long non-coding RNA, 161 nt
Organism: Leopardus geoffroyi (Geoffroy's cat)
Lineage: Eukaryota; Metazoa; Chordata; Mammalia; Carnivora; Felidae
Exons: 3
Source: RefSeq, a predicted model, not a curated record